RNAcentral lists this ribosomal RNA (543 nucleotides) under uncultured bacterium. Its description in RNAcentral is "bacterial SSU rRNA". It matches the Rfam family "Bacterial small subunit ribosomal RNA", at positions 777 to 1320 of the family's 1533-position model. The record is from RNAcentral.
AAUAGAUACCCGGUAGUCCACGCCGUAAACGAUGAGUGCUAAGUGUUAGGGGUUUCCGCCCCUUAGUGCUGCAGCUAACGCAUUAAGCACUCCGCCUGGGGAGUACGGUCGCAAGACUGAAACUCAAAGGAAUUGACGGGGGCCCGCACAAGCGGUGGAGCAUGUGGUUUAAUUCGAAGCAACGCGAAGAACCUUACCAGGUCUUGACAUCCCAUUGACCACUAUGGAGACAUAGUUUUUCCCUUCGGGGACAACGGUGACAGGUGAUGCAUGGUUGUCGUCAGCUCGUGUCGUGAGAUGUUGGGUUAAGUCCCGCAACGAGCGCAACCCUUGUUCUUAGUUGCCAUCAUUUAGUUGGGCACUCUAAGGAGACUGCCGGUGACAAACCGGAGGAAGGUGGGGAUGACGUCAAAUCAUCAUGCCCCUUAUGACCUGGGCUACACACGUGCUACAAUGGACGGUACAAACGGUUGCCAACCCGCGAGGGGAGCUAAUCCGAUAAAACCGUUCUCAGUUCGGAUUGUAGGCUGCAACUCGCCUACA